GAUGAACGCUGGCGGCGUGCCUAAUACAUGCAAGUCGAGCGAACAGAUGAGGAGCUUGCUCCUCUGACGUUAGCGGCGGACGGGUGAGUAACACGUGGAUAACCUACCUAUAAGACUGGGAUAACUUCGGGAAACCGGAGCUAAUACCGGAUAAUAUAUUGAACCGCAUGGUUCAAUAGUGAAAGACGGUUUUGCUGUCACUUAUAGAUGGAUCCGCGCCGCAUUAGCUAGUUGGUAAGGUAACGGCUUACCAAGGCAACGAUGCGUAGCCGACCUGAGAGGGUGAUCGGCCACACUGGAACUGAGACACGGUCCAGACUCCUACGGGAGGCAGCAGUAGGGAAUCUGCCGCAAUGGGCGAAAGCUUGACGGAGCAACGCCGCGUGAGUGAUGAAGGUCUUCGGAUCGUAAAACUCUGUUAUUAGGGAAGAACAAAUGUGUAGGUAACUAUGCACGUCUUGACGGUACCUAAUCAGAAAGCCACGGCUAACUACGUG
RNAcentral lists this ribosomal RNA (497 nucleotides) under uncultured bacterium. RNAcentral describes it as "partial 16S ribosomal RNA". It matches the Rfam family "Bacterial small subunit ribosomal RNA", at positions 28 to 507 of the family's 1533-position model. The record is from RNAcentral.